RNAcentral lists this small nuclear RNA (116 nucleotides) under Salarias fasciatus (jewelled blenny). RNAcentral's name for it is "U5 spliceosomal RNA (ENSSFAG00005001349.1)". It matches the Rfam family "U5 spliceosomal RNA". Rfam says of the family: U5 RNA is a component of both types of known spliceosome. The precise function of this molecule is unknown, though it is known that the 5' loop is required for splice site selection and p220 binding, and that both the 3' stem-loop and the Sm site are important for Sm protein binding and cap methylation. Lineage: Eukaryota; Metazoa; Chordata; Actinopteri; Blenniiformes; Blenniidae. The record is from Rfam by way of RNAcentral.
UCACUCUUGUUUCUCUUCAGAUCGUAUAAAUCUUUCGCCUUUUACUAAAGAUUUCCGUGGAGAGAAACAAUACGAGUCAAACCUAAUUUUUUGAUGCCCUGCUAAAAUGCAGGGCU